RNAcentral lists this ribosomal RNA (429 nucleotides) under bacterium. Its description in RNAcentral is "partial 16S ribosomal RNA". It matches the Rfam family "Bacterial small subunit ribosomal RNA", at positions 355 to 776 of the family's 1533-position model. The record is from RNAcentral.
UGGGGAAUCUUCCGCAAUGGACGAAAGUCUGACGGAGCAACGCCGCGUGAGUGAUGACGGCCUUCGGGUUGUAAAGCUCUGUUAAUCGGGACGAAUGGUUCUUGUGCGAAUAGUGCAAGGAUUUGACGGUACCGGAAUAGAAAGCCACGGCUAACUACGUGCCAGCAGCCGCGGUAAUACGUAGGUGGCAAGCGUUGUCCGGAAUUAUUGGUCGUAAAGCGCGCGCAGGCGGAUUGGUCAGUCUGUCUUAAAAGUUCGGGGCUUAACCCCGUGAUGGGAUGGAAACUGCCAAUCUAGAGUAUCGGAGAGGAAAGUGGAAUUCCUAGUGUAGCGGUGAAAUGCGUAGAUAUUAGGAAGAACACCAGUGGCGAAGGCGACUUUCUGGACGAAAACUGACGCUGAGGCGCGAAAGCCAGGGGAGCGAACGGG